UGAUUUUUAUGGUUUUUUCUACUGGAUGCAAAAGUUUCUGUUUUUCAAUAGGAUUAAAGCAACUAACACCCCACAUGAUCCCAAACGCUUUACUUGGGACAAAAACUAAAUAAAACACAAAAAACACAAUUAUAAUAGUAGAAUAAUUGUGCAAACACUCAAGAAUAGAAAGAAAAAGUGAAAAAUAAAUUGUAUUCAUUGUGUUGCC
RNAcentral lists this long non-coding RNA (208 nucleotides) under Hordeum vulgare. Its description in RNAcentral is "long non-coding RNA (HVUL_LNC010559)". Lineage: Eukaryota; Viridiplantae; Streptophyta; Magnoliopsida; Poales; Poaceae. The record is from RNAcentral.